ACCCCAGGCCACCACUGGUUUAAGCAAGAAAAGAGUGGCAAAGGUGUACAUAGCCUUGAAUUCUGGUCUGAGCUUGCUAGCAGCUUUGCUAUGUGACCUUGGGUGUGAAAAUUAAACUGCCCUGGCCCCUUACUUGUAAGUGGGGCAAAUCGCAGCACUCUUUCCUACCACAGGUUUGUUUCCCUGUUCCACCCUAAGGAGAAAUUUAGGUGCCAGAUCCCUGGGCAGUACAAAGAUCCGGUGGUAGUUAUUUCCCAUAACUUAUGGCUGAAGGUUAAAUUGGGGAUAGGGAAGUCUAGCUGGAGCCAAUUUGGAGAAUUAGAGGGCAUUAAUUUGCUGCUUUGACAUCUGAUUAUCUCAGCCGAAGGCUUCUCCAGAUUUCAUGAGGAGGAGAUCCGAAAUUGAAGCCAUCUUGGUUCAAUCCCAAAGUAAUGUAGGCUUCAUAGGACAGGGACUACCCCAAUAUCAGCCUUGGUCGCCACUGUCUCCAGAACCCCACUCGGUGACUGGCACAUCAUGGACACUCCAUGGAAAAGCUGAGACUCAGAGAUGUUAAAGAACUUGUCCAGGAGGCCUGAUACAGGUGAGGCCCCAAAGGCCGGUCGCGGUCCAAAGUCCUGUGAUGAUGGCAACUCACACUUGUCUGCAGUUGCUUGUACUUGAGUUUGCUAUAGAACCAUCACACAAGCAGCACAAAGGAGCUGGGAUCAAAGACGUAAGUGAGGGAGUGGAUGCAGUCCCCAGUGGCUAACUAGCUUCUUGCAGAAGUCUGGGGGUCAAGGCGGCCCUCCAGUGGUGACGAGCCUGCCUGGCGGGAAGAGCCUGGAGCAGGGCUUACAACCUUCUGUCAUAUUCUGCUGGGAGUGGCCACCUCCUGCCUACAGCGGAGGAACGUGGGCCAUUGGCUUAACCUCUCCGUGACUCAGUCUCCUUACCUAUAGAUUGAAAGUAAGAAGUGUUUUAUGAAGAUUAAAUGAGUUAAUAUCCAUGACGUACUUAGGAUAGUGUCCGACGCAUAGUAAGUGAUAAUAUUAGGGCUUGUUAAAUAAGAUAAGUACAAAUGCGAAUAAAAUAAAGUACAAAGAAAGAGAGUUGCGGGUGGGGUGGCUUGACUCAUCUUUGUUUUCGAAUGUUUACUUUUGAGGAAUCUCUAGGCCCAGUGUGGAGCUCAAACUCACAAGGCCGACAUCGAGAGUAACGUGCUCUCCCGACCGAGCCGGCCAAGCACCCCUGGCUUGACCCAUCUUUUAAUGCCUUCAUUUUGGGUCCCUAAUUGUCAAUUGGGAUUUUCCCCUCAAUGAGAAUGUAUCCCUGAUUUUAUCAUUCUCCUCACGGGUUUUCCUUGUAAGGCCAAAAUCAACUUUACAGAAACAUACUUCAUAGUCAGCUUUAUUACAACAAAGAGGUUUCUUCGGCCUCUUACACCGGAAAGGUUCAAAGGGGCCCAGGGAGCCCAGGGGUUAAAUUAGAACAUCUUGAGAGAGAACAGAGGAAAGCUAGAAUUAUGUGCUUCAACAGGUGUUUUAUGAUGGAAACUCAUUAAACUACAGGAACACGUGAAAAUAAUACCGUGCGCUUGUGUGAUACUUUUCACUUUUUCCUUCAGAGUACUUUCAUGUCUAGAAUUUCAUUUGUUCUCAGAAGGUCUGCGUGUGGUAGGGAGAGCAGGUAUUCUCAUUAGACCUAAGAAGAAACUGAGCCCCGCCAGGUUAAA
Molecule: long non-coding RNA, 1714 nt
Organism: Felis catus (domestic cat)
Lineage: Eukaryota; Metazoa; Chordata; Mammalia; Carnivora; Felidae
Exons: 3
Source: RefSeq, a predicted model, not a curated record